UUUUGUUGCUGAAUGUGGUGGAUUUGAUGCUGUUCCAUUUCAGCGCUCCUGCGCUGGUUCUGCUGGCGGAACAACAGAGCCGCAUCGGCGUUUUUGAGCAACAUCUUCUCCUGCCUGGAGGCCAUCUCAUAGAUGCGAUCCAGGCUUUUAUGUUUUUGAAGCUCAGCUUACCAUCCGAGGAAUAUGGGGAAAAAGGAGAUAAGGGCAGGCCAAGUCCAGAUGUUGGCCAGCAUGACGGCCACUUUUUUGCGCGUGAUUUUCAUUGGGUACAUGAGAGGCUGCGAGAUGGCGUAAUAGCGAUCGACACUGAUGCAGCACAGGUGCAAAAUGGAGACGGUGCAGCAAUAGACGUCGAAGCUGUUCCAGAUAUCACCUAUAGAGCAAAUGCAGGACAGCUGGACUUACACAUGGCGUAGCUAAAUAUCCAUUGACCGAAGAUGAUGACGCUGGCGUUAAAGCCCAUAGCGACCAAUGCGACCAGGAUGUCGGCCAUGGCCAGCGACACAACAAAAUAGUUGGUGAUGAUGCGCAAUUUGCGGAAGCGGGCCACGCUAAUGAUGACGAGCAGGUUGCCGAAAAUGGAGGCGGCGAUGAUGAGACCCAUCAGGAAAGUCUUGACCACCAAUGUCAGCGUCAAGAACCAAUCGACGGCGGCUUCAGCGUCUUCGCUCAGACCACUGCCCAGCUCCGUCUCCAUUAUCGAGUAACCGGUAGCGUCGAAGAGCAACGAGCCGUUGUCUAUUAACGAUUCCGUGUUAACGUCCAUGGCCAUCCCCAGCCCGCUACUAUGGCCAGGAGACCUUUAAAACAUUGGGGAAAGCAAAUAGAAAAUUAAAGCCCCCGACCGAUCGAUACAAACAUUCGAUCUGCGGAAGAAUGAGGCGCACACGAUUCGAGUUCCACAAAGCUCUCAAAUGAUGGUGGAAAACUUUUGACGCACUCGGCAUCGAUUUCCUUCCGGUGCGUUGUAAAUGUACAGGAAGAGGAAAACUGCGCCCCACGGAUCCAAAGUACUUCACCUACUUUGUUAGCGGCUAUUGUAACCCGAUCUCGCAAAUCCGUGCGCAAACUUCUCGGAAGGACCGCACUGUUUCAUCUCGCUGUAUUCAAUCAUUGCUCAUCUCUUCCGUGCUUGAUGUUCCAUCGUCAAGGACGGCCGGGUUAGAGAGUAGUAUUGAAACUGUACGCGGUGACUCUGCAGCGUCCGAAAAGAGAUGAAGCAGUGACCAAGAGGAGAGAAUUAUCGAUCGACCACAUCAAUAAGAAGCGGAAAAAAAAUGGACGGUGCUGCGUCAAAACGGAAGAAGCGUCCCGCAUCCCUGAGGCGAUGGCCAAAAUCGGAUGGAGACGCGCCCAAAUGAUUGUGAGGAUGUCUCCCUGCAGACGCCUUACUUCCUGCACUUCCCGGAUGGUAGAAAGCGGAAGGAGACAACGAUAAUGAAGACGGAUCACUUCAAAAGAAAAGAAAAAAAACUGUACAGAUAUGUAGUUUUCAUUACGUUUUAAGUCGAUGCAGACACGUAGAAACUCUAUUCGAGUUUAAGCUAUUCCUAUAUCUAAUCCAUCAUCGAUAAAGUGGCGAGGAAGAGCCAGGUUAAAGCAGGAAAAAAGAAAAACAUUUUGAUGCAGUGAAAAAGGACAGCUCCACGUAGUGGUUUGCCAGACUGGCUGCAACACUCUUGUGUCGAAAAGUGGAUGAUGCAUUCCACUAGGAGGGCAGCCAUUGUUCGCUCACUGUCAUCUUUCCAAUCUAUAUACUAUGUCAUAUAAAUAUGUAUUUAUAUCUAUAUAGAGAAAGAGCGAGAAAGGCAGCAACCGUCAAGGAGAAAGGGCAUCUACAGCAGACACGAAAAUAGCUGCGGGGAUAUAAAUGUAUGCAUCAGAAAAAAUUCACUGCGCUCUGAUCGGAUGACAAGAAAGCCUACGUUCUUUACAGAUGCACAACACUUUUUGAUGUCAAUGCCAGGAUGUCCUAGAAUCCAUACUAUUCAUCCGCUCUUGCACCUGAUCCGCGGUAUCAGAAGUAAAGCAGAUGGACGUAUAAUAGCCAUAGGAAUUGUAUUUCUAUAACCUACUCACGCAAAUGGAUGUAAACUGCUCCAGUACGCUGGCGAUUACCGUGUUGGGAUAAUCCUGAAUUCUAUUCAUGUCCUUCUUUCAAUGCAAGAAAAGACAACUCAUUCACUAAAAAGAUUCAACAAAAUGCAAAGCUGAACAGAAAAUCAAGGAGCUGCUGUGUAGGACUGAUGCUUUGAAGAGUUUCAUUGGAAAUUGAAUCACUCCGUCUUCUGUGUUCAUGUAUACACACACACACACUGAUUCCACGUCUUACACAUUGUUUGCGUAGCUGACUUGCACGACUUGAUCGUAUCGUCAACUUCUCAUCUAUUGCGUACGAGUCGUGUUUACCCAGUAAGACUCUUUGCCACCGUAUGUCAUCGAAGAGGAGCGCCGAGAAAUUGCACACGUCAACCGGCGUGUGCUGGUAUUCUGAUAUCAAAGUGAUUGUGCUGAGCCAAAAAGGGAAUCGUGUCCCUCUCAUACUUGCCAUUGUUGUGGCACACAUUUCAGGACGGUUAUUGGUUCGCGUUGAUUAUCUGCUCGUAAGUAAACAGAAUACGAGUUGAUUAUACACGGACAACAUGAAAGAAAACAACUUUGACUGUUCAACAUUUUCCAGCUUCAUUGAUUAAUCCCGACAGCGCCCUCAAACGGGCCUAAUGAAUCGCUGAAGCAAGUUAAACGUUCCGUCCAAACAGAUGACAAGCAUCAAGGAAUAAUGGAAACGCAUAACGGCAGUAGAAGCAAUUGAAUGUUAGAAAAGAAACCGUCACUGGAAACCAGACAUCUUUACGUGUUAUUGAUCGGCCCCGUCAUUAGCACCGUCGGAGUCGAAGCUCUUUGUCUUACUUCGUCUGGAAAACGACUCGCAGAGAAGUGUUUUCAACUCGUCGGUGAUAACGAUACGGCUCCAUAUCCGUUGAUCCAGCUUCGUGUUUACUUGUAUAUCGCUAAUGUUCCACCCAUUGGGGCGAUCCGCCGCCGAUCUGCGAAUCGCGUGAAAGGCGGGCCAACCGAAAUUCGGCUAUAACUAUAAUUGGCACGAAGGCGAAAAGGAAAACUAAAUGCACGGCGUGUGGAAGCGGGGAAGAAAAAAGAAAAUUAAGAAACUUCUAUUAUACAACCCGCUACGUAGAGGAAGAACGAAAUGGAAAGGGCCGAGAAAAUCAAUAUAAAGGUUGAUCCGGUUACGUGUUUGAAUUGCCGGUAAAACGAAGACGACGUUCGCCAGAAAGAAAACAGACAGCCCGCAACACUGUGCACCUAAUUCAGCUCGGAGGAGAUUGGCCGUUAGGUUUCUAUAGAAAUUCUACUUUAUUUGGCUGCCUGAAAUAAUAGCAGACAGAAAAUUGGGAUGAAAAAAAAAA
Daphnia magna is the source of this 3428-nucleotide long non-coding RNA. RefSeq lists it as uncharacterized. The record is from RefSeq and is a predicted model, not a curated record. Lineage: Eukaryota; Metazoa; Arthropoda; Branchiopoda; Diplostraca; Daphniidae. The transcript has 18 exons.